UGGGGAAUAUUGCGCAAUGGGCGAAAGCCUGACGCAGCGACGCCGCGUGAGGGAUGAAGGUCUUCGGAUCGUAAACCUCUGUCAGCAGGGAAGAACGGUCACUGUGCCUAAUCAGCAGUGAAUUGACGGUACCUGCAAAGGAAGUACCGGCUAACUCCGUGCC
Molecule: ribosomal RNA, 163 nt
Filed under: uncultured bacterium
Lineage: Bacteria
Description: partial 16S ribosomal RNA
Rfam family: Bacterial small subunit ribosomal RNA
Source: RNAcentral